This 81-nucleotide transfer RNA is filed under the name Actinomycetota bacterium. RNAcentral describes it as "tRNA-Leu". It matches the Rfam family "tRNA". From Rfam's summary of the family: Transfer RNA (tRNA) molecules are approximately 80 nucleotides in length. The record is from RNAcentral. Lineage: Bacteria; Bacillati; Actinomycetota. RNAcentral also lists the same sequence under 1 other name.
GCGCGAGUGGCGGAACGGCAGACGCAGCGGCUUUAGGUGCCGCCGCCUUCGGGCGUGGGGGUUCGAGUCCCCCCUCGCGCA